This 646-nucleotide long non-coding RNA is filed under the name Equus caballus (horse). RNAcentral describes it as "lncRNA (ENSECAG00000052773.1)". The record is from RNAcentral. Lineage: Eukaryota; Metazoa; Chordata; Mammalia; Perissodactyla; Equidae.
UGCCUGAGUCUGCUCACCACCCUCCCGGGGAAGGACUCGGUAUAAAGGCAGAUGUUUAUCUGCUGAGUACCUGCUAUGAGCAGAGCACAGUGCCAGGAGCUAUUGUCAAAGAGAAGCACCUUUCCAGGAGCUUCUCAUAGAGAAGGCAAGACUAACACCUGUGAUAUAAUUGUCAAGACACUUGACACAGAGUCUUUAACACGAUUUGUGAUCGUGGGUGGAAGAUGGACUCAGAAGUUACCCUCAGGGAGCUACUGUUUUUGAUGCUGACCCAGAAGCACUUCUUUCCGGUCUGGAGAUGGACAAUAAUGAAGCCCAUGAUUCCUGGGUGUGCUUCAGAGAAUGUAUCGGCACCAAGAAGAGAUCUAGAGCUGGGAUGCCAGAAAGAGUGUUUGAAAUCCAGCAUUCACUGUUCCUGAGGCAACUGGCCCAUCACUUAGAAUGUCUUCAGAAGGUCAUCUUUCUCUUUGCGCCACAGAGAGCUCCCCACCGGCAUGGGCCUAACCCUGUGUGGUUGAAUAACUUCUGCUCUUAGUGGAAUGGGGACCGCCAAGCAUUAGAAAAACAAGAAUUUCCAAUCUAGAAGAUUCUGGGGGAAGAUAACCCUUCUCUUCAAAUAAAACUUCAGUGAUAACUGUACUUUCAG